This 125-nucleotide ribosomal RNA is filed under the name Paramormyrops kingsleyae. Lineage: Eukaryota; Metazoa; Chordata; Actinopteri; Osteoglossiformes; Mormyridae. The record is from RNAcentral.
GACUUCUUGUGAUACCUACUGUACCACCUGCAGUUCAGUCUAGGUAAUACACCUGUAGCUAAACAGGUUUGGGCCGGGCCAGUACUUGGAUUGGAGACCAAUUAGGAAAGCUGGUAUGGGAGCCC